UGUGUUUCUAGUUCCCAAGUGCACAGCA
Molecule: non-coding RNA, 28 nt
Filed under: Homo sapiens (human)
Lineage: Eukaryota; Metazoa; Chordata; Mammalia; Primates; Hominidae
Source: RNAcentral